GACUCAUUAGCUUAGUGGAUAACGUGAUGGCAUUUGAAGCGAAAGGUACUAGGUUCGAGUCCCAGAGUGAAC
RNAcentral lists this transfer RNA (72 nucleotides) under Schistosoma mansoni. The record is from RNAcentral. Lineage: Eukaryota; Metazoa; Platyhelminthes; Trematoda; Strigeidida; Schistosomatidae.